This 392-nucleotide ribosomal RNA is filed under the name uncultured bacterium. Its description in RNAcentral is "partial 16S ribosomal RNA". It matches the Rfam family "Bacterial small subunit ribosomal RNA", at positions 523 to 918 of the family's 1533-position model. The record is from RNAcentral.
AUACGGAGGAUGCGAGCGUUAUCCGGAUUUAUUGGGUUUAAAGGGAGCGUAGGCGGGAGCUUAAGUCAGCGGUUAAAUGGUGCGGCUCAACCGUGCCCUGCCGUUGAAACUGGGUUUCUUUAGAGUGCAAGGGGCGGAUGGAAUUCAUGGUGUUGCGGUGAAAUGCUUAGAUAUCAUGAAGAACUCCGAUUGCGAAGGCAGUCCGCUGGGGCACGUCUGACGCUGAUGCUCGAAGGUGCGGGAAUCAAACAGGAUUAGAUACCCUGGUAGUCCGCACGGUAAACGAUGAUUACCCGCUGUCGGCGGUAGACAGUCGGCGGCCAAGCGAAAGCGAUAAGUAAUCCACCUGGGGAGUACGCCGGCAACGGUGAAACUCAAAGGAAUUGACGGGG